GUUUUAUUUUUUUUGUAAAAAACAUUCAGUGCGCUAUACUAACACACACAGACUCAAUCAUCUACACACACGCACACUUCACACAUCAUUGGAGUUCUCAGACUCUGCUGGUGAUCCUUCUAAAUGUUUUAAAACAGUAAAUGCACUGAAGCGUGGAAGUUCCUCUCCUUCCCCGCCUGAGCAAGUUCUGUCAGACUCUGGCAUCACUACUGAGAAAAAUAUGAUAAGUGAUGCUUUUAAUCAACAUUUUUAUCUCUGCAGGUUUUUUAUUUGAAAGAAAUGGUGGUUUAAUUAACCCUGUUCAAUCAGUCGACGCCUCUUCCCUCUCCCAGCCUCCAGUUGGUCCAUUGGAAGAUCACUCAAUUUAUAGCAAAUCUUGAUCAACUUUCUACUUGUGAUGCGCUAGAUGCCUUCCUUAAGAUGUAACAACAACCAAAAAAAUCCACUGGGGCUGAUUUGCUUGAUCCUUUCUUGAUGCAGAUUUCUGCUCCCGAUUGCGGAGUCAAUAACCAGGUUUCCAUCCAACCUUUUCAUAUGAGUAAAGUGCAUGUCGGAUUCAAAAUGUCAUGACAGGCCUGAUGGAAACAGAAGAUUUUCCGGUAAACUUUCCAAAUGUCGACAAAACUAAACACGCUAGACAAGGUGGGAUCUUUUUAUGUCGGUAAAAUGAAUUAUUCGAGAAACCCUUUUAUGCGCAAAUAUGUAUAUUAACCAUCGUAUCGAAGUAAAGUUGGAGUCACGCGAGGUUGUGUGAUCCUCCAACUACUGCUCGUCAGGAAAGCAUGCAGUUUACUAUGCUACAGUUUAAGAAAAAAUAUAAGUUAUGAACUUCACAGGACGGUGAAAGUGCAAGGGGAUGCUUGAUUCUUCUUCCCAAUAAAUAUCAAGGGGCUUAUUCUGUUGACAUUAUCAUCGAUGCUUGGCUGCCGUUUGACAAAUAAAAACAAACAAUCUCAUCAUGUAGGCUAUACAUGCGCUCUAGCCAACUGCACAGAUACUAUACUGUAUCUGCGUCCUCUGUGCUGUUGGCUAGAGCGCACCUGUCAAUACCAGUCCGCUCACUCGCUAUAUAUCGCACACAUUUUUGUGAGAAAACCAUCAGUAGAGUUGAAAAUGUAAUGGAAACCCAUUUACAUGUAAUGUUUUAUUUGGUACAUGGGAAUUUAACCGCAUAAGGUACAUUAUUUUUAUGUGCACUACGUCAUCACGCACAGCUUUUUAUCAACAAUUACAUUUGAUGGAAACACACAUCUGGUGGGAAAAUGCAGAUUUUAGAAUAUUCACAUGAAAAUGUGUCCCCAAUUGGACAGAAACCUAGCUAUUGACACAUUCUUCAUCUGACGAUUAUCUCGGGUGCUAUCCCCAGGGUUUUGGAAGGAGGCCCAUGUGCUCCCUCUACACAAAGAUGGAGCCACGGGGAACUGCAGACAACAUUGUUAAAAAACACAACCCUGGUGCCUGAGCCAAGUAGCUGUGCCUUGUAAACAAAGUCUCCCGCCUGACCUGUGCACCUCAGUGGGAUGACAAACAACAACAUUCACCCCGCUCCCAACCCCCCGGAUCCACUACAGAAAAUUGCAGUGAUGACUCAAACACCCAACGGCAAUGAAAGAUUGGCUGGCAAAAAGCCUCCAGCUGUAAGAUGAGGGGUGCACCCAACCAUGUCAUAUAGAUAUAUAGUGAGGCUGGUUGGAAAGUGUACCACUCCAAGACCUGGUGGGACAUUUUUAAACCUGUUUGAAAACAAGUGAAGGUCACAAGGCCAGAGCGAUAUACAGCUGAUGAUAGCAGCAAGCUUUGUCAAGGCUGAGGAAGAUUUAUUUGUAUAUUUUGAUGGGACUCUGGCUGUAUCCCUACAUAAACAACCCAGGCAGAUAAUGACACAAAUCUUAGCAAUACAUCCUGGUACAUACAACAUACCUGCAAUAAGAUGUUUUUCUGGUUAUCUGUUCACAUGUCUGGCCAAACUAAUGUGGCAUACCUUAAUGCUCCCCUGCCACACAGCCCGGUGCUAUGGAAAACGGCACUGACAGUGACAAAACAUGCUGUUGUAAUGAACAAUAAAUACGUGAAUAAUAAUAACAGGUUA
This 2089-nucleotide long non-coding RNA is filed under the name Salmo salar (Atlantic salmon). Its description in RNAcentral is "lncRNA (ENSSSAG00000089900.1)". The record is from RNAcentral. Lineage: Eukaryota; Metazoa; Chordata; Actinopteri; Salmoniformes; Salmonidae.